Molecule: long non-coding RNA, 1060 nt
Organism: Sycon ciliatum
Lineage: Eukaryota; Metazoa; Porifera; Calcarea; Leucosolenida; Sycettidae
Exons: 3
Source: RefSeq, a predicted model, not a curated record
ACGGAGGUGAAUGUUAGUUCAGAGAAAUAUUGAAGAGUGGAAAGCUUACUGUAGUUUCGGAGCGGGAAACGAAUUGCAGCAAUGCAGAUACAGAUGUGGCUGUACACGGGUAUUGUGCUGUACCUCAGUUAUACGUGUAUGCGGACGUACGCUACACAACAAGCGUUGAUAUGGAAAACCUGUGCCCAAACCAAUGCUAGGACAUGGCAAGUAGAUUGGGCAUUUUGCGAAACACGAGAAAAGUGGGAGGAUGCAAAGGAGAGAUGUAAGGACGCAGGUGGGAACCUAGCUACUGCCCAAACAAUAACGCAACGUAGGUGUGCAAGCUCGACGGUGACAAGAACAUCCACCCAAAACUGUUCAUCUAGUAGAGCAAUGACGGGUUGUGGUGUAUGGGUAGGCCUGAAAGGUACCUGGCCUAGGCGCGGAGGAACAUGGACGGCCUGGAACUGGGAAGUUACUCAAUUUCCUUCCGGAUCAGCACCUCCAUGGACAUCUCAAAACCCCAUGAUUGACGAGGAUAUGAAAUACGGAUACUACUGGCCAGAAAGGAAUGGCCUGGAGAACACCGACAAGAACAGCAUGCUCAUGUACCUCUGCCAGCGAUAUGUACCGAAAGAAAACUGGUACUCCUGCAAUUGCACAGCGGAUCAAACAACGGGAUGCAUGCAGACACUCUACAUUUCAACGCCUAAGAAUUUCGAUGGUGCUGCUGCAGAGUGCGCCACUAGAAGCAGCAUUUUGGCAAAUAUCCAGAAUAUGGACCACAAAGAAUGCGCUAUAUCUCUGUUAGGACCCCGAAACGGUCAAUGCAACAGUACAAGCUGUCGGGGAUCCUGCAAGGCCAACACUUGCAAUGUCUGGGUUGCACUGAAAAAAAUGAACUCGAAAUGGAAAUGGCUGUCACCUGUUCAAAUUGUGGCACGUAACAUCACCUGGAUAAACAAUGAACCCAAUACAAAAGGAGGAUUCCGAUGCGUCUAUUACUCGCCAGAACAUGGCAGGUUUGAAAAUGAACGUUGUCAGUUAAAGAAAAGUUUCUACUGCCAAAGAUACAUAC